This 263-nucleotide ribosomal RNA is filed under the name Morganella morganii. RNAcentral describes it as "partial 16S ribosomal RNA". It matches the Rfam family "Bacterial small subunit ribosomal RNA", at positions 1 to 260 of the family's 1533-position model. The record is from RNAcentral. Lineage: Bacteria; Pseudomonadati; Pseudomonadota; Gammaproteobacteria; Enterobacterales; Morganellaceae.
UAAUUGAAGAGUUUGAUCAUGGCUCAGAUUGAACGCUGGCGGCAGGCCUAACACAUGCAAGUCGGGCGGUAACAGGGAGAAGCUUGCUUCUCCGCUGACGAGCGGCGGACGGGUGAGUAAUGUAUGGGGAUCUGCCUGAUGGCGGGGGAUAACUACUGGAAACGGUAGCUAAUACCGCAUAAUGUCUACGGACCAAAGCGGGGGACCUUCGGGCCUCGCGCCAUCAGAUGAACCCAUAUGGGAUUAGCUUGUAGGUGAGGUAA